Molecule: ribosomal RNA, 252 nt
Filed under: uncultured bacterium
Lineage: Bacteria
Description: partial 16S ribosomal RNA
Rfam family: Bacterial small subunit ribosomal RNA
Source: RNAcentral
UACGUAAGGUCCGAGCGUUGUCCGGAAUCAUUGGGCGGAAAGGGUACGCAGGCGGAUAAGCAAGUUAGAAGUGAAAUCCUAUAGCUCAACUAUAGUAAGCUUUUAAAACUUCUCAUCUUGAGGUAUGUAAGGGAAAGUGGAAUUCCUAGUGUAGCGGUGAAAUGCGUAGAUAUUAGGAGGAAUACCGGUGGCGAAGGCGACUUACUGGCCAUGUACUGACGCUGAGGUACGAAAGCUUGGGCAGCAAACAGG